Alligator mississippiensis (American alligator) is the source of this 6336-nucleotide long non-coding RNA. RefSeq lists it as uncharacterized. The transcript has 2 exons. NCBI's taxonomy places the organism in Eukaryota, Metazoa, Chordata, Crocodylia, Alligatoridae. The record is from RefSeq and is a predicted model, not a curated record.
UUGCCCUAAGCUGAAGGACAAACAAAGGAAAGUCAGCGGGGGGGGCCGCCAGAUAAGGGUGAACUCCUCGGGGGAAGGUUCAAGCUGAAGGGGCGAGAUUUACUAACAAAGCUACAAGCUUCCGUGAAAGCCAAAGGAAUUGAGAAAACAGGGCUCAAAUUACCAAACAGCCCUCCGGGCAGCUGAGACUGUGUCAGAAGCCAAAGGAAUUGAGAUUUUAAAGAAUGUUGAUUCAUGUAUAUGGGCAGAUGGCACCUCCUUCAGGAUUGGUAUAAGACCUGAGAGCUGUAAACAAAAGAAUUUAGUGGAUCAUUCUAUGGUUUAAAAGAUGCUUUCUUCUCUAUUCUGCUACAUGAAGAUAGUCAGAAAUUGUUUGCCUUUGAAUGGGAGGACCCAGACACGUAUCAUAAGACUCAAUUGUUAUGGACAGUGUUACCCCAGGGAUUUGUCUCAUCCCCCCAUAACUUUAAAACAGCAUUAAAAAAGACCUGGAGCAUUGAAAAGGAAGACACUCUGAGAUGGCGUUGUUGCAGUAUGUUGAUGAUUUAUUGGUAAUAAGUCCCGAUGUGCAGAUGGGAAAGAGAGCAACAGAAUCCUUGCUGAAUACCCUGAGAAAGAAAGGGUAUAAGGUGUCACGGGAAAAGGCUCAAAUUUGCCAGCCAACGGUCACCUUUUUGGGUUAUGAGAUUGAGGAGGGGGUUCGGGUAGAGAUCGAAUUCAAGCAAUGCAGGAUAUGCCCACUCCCAAACCCCCCAAAGAGCUGCGAGCUUUCCUGGGACUAAUCAGGUUUUGUAGACUGUGGAUUCCUGAUUAUGGGGGAAAAGCCAAACCCCUAUAUGAGUCCCUCACAAAAGAGGGUCUCACAAAUUGGAAAUGGACUAAGGAAAACCAACAUGCAUUUGAGUUAUUGAAAGCUGCCCUCUUGCAAACCCCAGCGCUGAUGAUUCCAAAUGGGCGCAAGCCCUAUAGACUGUAUGUGCAUGAGAAUAAAGGGGUGGCCUCAGGGGUCUUAACUCAACCAGUAGGCCCAACUUGGAAGCCCGUGGGCUACUACUCCAAGGUCCUAGACCCGGUAGUGAAGGGAUGGCCUGCAUGUUUAAGGGCUGUCGCUGCCACAGCUACCCUUGUGGGGGAGGCUCAAAAGAUUGUUAUGGGAGCUGAUAUGGAAGUACAUACCACAUGGAGUUCCCCAAAUCCUUGGAGGAGAGGGAGGAAAAUUUUUAAACCCCUCCAGACAAUCCAGAUAUGAAAUCUUUCUCCUAUCUAAUCCAGGCCUUACCUUCAAGCACACCACUGCUUUAAAUCCAGCGACCCUCCUGCCAGAACCGGGACCUCCGUGCCAUGACUGCUUAGAGGUAUUGACACAGACAGUAUUAAUUCAACCUGAUUUAACAGAUGACCCACUUGAGGACCCAGAGGAGGAAUUCUUCGUAGAUGGUUCGAGUAGUGUGAUACAUGGCAUGCGGCAUACGGGAUGUGCUGUGGUAACUUUGGCUGAGACGGUGUAGAAAGAAAAGCUCCCGGCAAACUGGUCAGCACAGGCAGCGGAGCUCACUGCCCUGACCCGUGCAUUGGUAUUAGGAAAAGACAAAAGAGUAAAAGAGUGAACAUUUUUACGGAUUCGUGCUAUGCCUUUGCCACUGUACAUGCCCAUGGGUCGUUAUGAAAAGAACGUGGAUUCAUCACGGCCUCUGGAUAAAAGAUUGCAAAUGGGCCACAGAUUGUAAUGCUAUUGAAAGCCCUCCGCUACCGAAAGAGGUGGCCAUGGUGCAUGUUAAAGCCCAUGGCAAGGCUGCAGACGAGCGCCAGAGAAGGGGAAAUGCAAAGGCUGAUGUAGCAGCCAAAGAGGCAGCACAAAUGGGAGGAAGACCGUGGGCCCAUUAUCCCGGACAAGCUUGGCAGAUUGACUUCGCUGAACUUCCAAAGUCUGGUCGUUACCGUUAUCUGCUAGUAUUGGUCGAUCAACUAACUGGAUGGGUGAAAGCGUACCCCACAAGAAUGGCUACCGCAUCCACAGUGACACGAGUACUACUCCACGAGAUAAUACCCUGAUUUCUGUUGCCUGAGUCUAUUGAGUCAGAUCAAGGAAGUCAUUUUGUGGGGAAAAUAGUACAGGAAGUGUCCAAAGCUUUAGAUAUCACAUGGAAACUCCAUGCUCCAUGGAGACCCCAGAGUUCAGGUCAGGUGGAGCGCAUGAAUAGAACGCUGAAAGCGAUGUUAACAAAAAUCUGUACUGAAACUCAUUUGAAAUGGCCGCAGGCACUCCCACUGGCUUUAACUCGUAUUCGUAGCACACCACGUAGAGGGAUUAAAUUGUCACCUUUUGAAUUAAUGUUUGGUAUGCCUCCCAGAGUCUUGCCAGCAGGGUAGAGGGAACAGAUUACUGUAGAUUUAGAAAAAUCUGAAAUUUGAGAACAUGUUAUCGCCUUGCAGUCUGUUUUGUCUUCCCUACACAGGUUUGCUGCACCCUUCCAGAGCCUCCCGCUUGAUGCACCAAUCCACAACUUCAAACCGGGUGACCAAGUUUUGGUACAGAAGUGGAAGAAGGAUCCCCUUGCGGAAAGGUGGGAGGGACCCUACCAGGUGCUGCUGACUACACACACAGCUGUCCGCCUAUCAAACAGCGAUAAGUGGACCCAUUGCUCGAGGAUAAACCCUUUUCAUCAGGAGGACACCAACUCCCAGGGUGUGGUCACUCCGGAAGCUGAUAACACCCGGGAACAAAAAGCCAACAGGUGGAAAAGUGAACCUGCUGGAGAUUUGAAGUUAUGCUUGCAAAGAUGUGGGCCCUAGUCUAUUUGUUGGGACUCUUGUCCCUUUUAGGUAUAUCGAACCCAAAAGUUAUGUCCACCUGUUAUACUUAUUCUCAGAACAAACUUGCAACCCUCAGUAAGGUUCAGUACAACUGCAAAACCGCUUAGCUCUUAAUUACUUACUUGCAAGUGAAGGAGGGGUGUGCAGGAAGUUGAAUUUAUCAAAUUGUUGUGUUGAAAUUGAUGAUAAUGGUGAAUUGAUAAAGGACCUAGCAAAUGAUAUGGAAAAGGUAGCACAUGUCCCAGUCCAGACAUGGAAUGGGUGGAACUUUGACUGGUUCACAUCCUGGCUUCCUCAGCCUGGAUGGUUGAAGGGUGUGUUGAUGGCCUUAUGCUUGUUAGUGUCAACCCUUUGCUUGCUUCCUUGUAUGCCACCGUGCAUCAUGACCCUUCUGAGACGGACUGUUCAGUCAGUUGUUAACCAUGAAAUGCUUGUACACUAUCAAAGAUUGGCUAUUGCUGACACUUAUGAAAAUUUUUAGAGUAAGAAAGCAUCUGAGGGGGGAGUUAUAGUAAAAAUAGGUUAGACUCCAUGAUUUUGAAAUAAUGCUUGAGCAGCAACUAUAUGAUAGAAGUGUCUUAUGACCAUCUUAUGACCCUUGUGCAAGAUCAUAAGGUCUAACGACUUAGCUGUGGUCUGCUGUUCUUACUGCUUGCCUUGCAUUUUAAAAUUAUCCCUGCCCAGUGCCCUAAGGUUACGCUAAGAUAAGAGGUUACUAAAGUUUACUAACUUUGCCGCAGUUCCCCUUUUCCUCUGCGCAUGCGACAAAAGGUUUCGCUGCAGUUCUGCUUUUUGAGUGCGCAUGCACUAACCCUGAUAAGUCACACUAACCAAUAACAAGUUAAGUGCAGCCUACAAGAUAAGACGUAACAACUAGGAAAUGGUAAUGCUGCCAAUAAACAUCUAACACGUUAAAACUCUAUGUUCAACGUAAGCUAUAAAAAUGUAAUUCCGGGCCAGACUUGUCAUCGACUCUGAUUUGAGCUCAGCUCCUGGGUCAAACUGUUUGCAAACAAUAAAUCUGAGAUGGACCCAGCCUGUGUGUGUGUGUGUGACUCUCUCCUGGGGUGGAUUGGACAAGCCUCCAGGGGCACGAAACUAGCCGUUUGGGCAACAAUUUGGUGAGCCAGCCAGGAGCCCUUCUGGACCACUCCGGGGCCACGACGAGACCGGCAAAGGGGAUUCGUGAAGUGGCGCCACCAGACCGCUCUUGGAGUCUGUCACGAUCCCCGGGUACGUGAGUUGGGGCACCCGGAAGGUUAAAGGCUCUCCUUUGAAUGAGUCACCCAGGCUGAGUGGGUCCGAAGAGACGGUGCCAGGGUGUUGACGGAGUAAGUAUUCAUUUGCCUUGUGUCAUUUGGGUAGUUUGUUUUGUUGAGUGGUCUCUCGGGGAAUUUGGAAUUUUGGAACGUUCAGUAUAUAAGUCUGAACAUUAGCCCCAGGGACUUUGUUUUGAGUGAUUUUGUUUUAGUGUUCAGCAAAUAGGUCUGAAUUUUGAUUGACACAAUGGGUUCGGGUAGCUCCCGAGAAGAAAACUCCACAACCCCAUCAGGAUGCAUGCUAAGAAACUUUAGUGAGUUCAAAGGAAAUUACGGGGUAGAAAUGUUAAAAGAUAGAUUAAUUACUCUCUGUCAGUUGGAGUGGCCGGAUGCCGGUUCUUUUGAUGUGAAUCUGGCUAAGGCAGUGUGGGGAAGGAGGUAGGUCUAACUGAAUGAAUGUGUGUCUGUGUAUUUAAAACAAACAAACAAAAAAAUGAUGAGCCGCUGACCAGUUUCUGGGACUAAAAGCUGAGUCUAGCAGCCCCGAUUCUGCCUAACAAGGUAGUGUCCAACGCAAGGGGGCUCAGCUGGAACCUCGUGACCCAGUGGACAGGUGUCUGAGUGAUUUUGUCUUUCCCAAAUCUGUUUUCCCAGUAUCUUCUGUCAAGGGCAGGAGUGAAAGAAUCCCUUUUGUGUUUCCCUCCCUCCUUCCACUGUAUGAGCCGGUGUCACGUCAGUAGCCUUGAGUCUGGGCAGUAAGGACUGCGGGGCAAGGCACUGAGCAGCCCGGACAUCCUAAAUAAGCCUUUCCUGUGUCUUUCUGUGUGCUCAAAAUCAUGGUGACUGGAUCCGAACCUUAUUAAAUACAGGUUUGCUGCACCCUUCCAGAGCCUCCCGCUUGAUGCACCAAUCCACAACUUCAAACCGGGUGACCAAGUUUUGGUACAGAAGUGGAAGAAGGAUCCCCUUGCGGAAAGGUGGGAGGGACCCUACCAGGUGCUGCUGACUACACACACAGCUGUCCGCCUAUCAAACAGCGAUAAGUGGACCCAUUGCUCGAGGAUAAACCCUUUUCAUCAGGAGGACACCAACUCCCAGGGUGUGGUCACUCCGGAAGCUGAUAACACCCGGGAACAAAAAGCCAACAGGUGGAAAAGUGAACCUGCUGGAGAUUUGAAGUUAUGCUUGCAAAGAUGUGGGCCCUAGUCUAUUUGUUGGGACUCUUGUCCCUUUUAGGUAUAUCGAACCCAAAAGUUAUGUCCACCUGUUAUACUUAUUCUCAGAACAAACUUGCAACCCUCAGUAAGGUUCAGUACAACUGCAAAACCGCUUAGCUCUUAAUUACUUACUUGCAAGUGAAGGAGGGGUGUGCAGGAAGUUGAAUUUAUCAAAUUGUUGUGUUGAAAUUGAUGAUAAUGGUGAAUUGAUAAAGGACCUAGCAAAUGAUAUGGAAAAGGUAGCACAUGUCCCAGUCCAGACAUGGAAUGGGUGGAACUUUGACUGGUUCACAUCCUGGCUUCCUCAGCCUGGAUGGUUGAAGGGUGUGUUGAUGGCCUUAUGCUUGUUAGUGUCAACCCUUUGCUUGCUUCCUUGUAUGCCACCGUGCAUCAUGACCCUUCUGAGACGGACUGUUCAGUCAGUUGUUAACCAUGAAAUGCUUGUACACUAUCAAAGAUUGGCUAUUGCUGACACUUAUGAAAAUUUUUAGAGUAAGAAAGCAUCUGAGGGGGGAGUUAUAGUAAAAAUAGGUUAGACUCCAUGAUUUUGAAAUAAUGCUUGAGCAGCAACUAUAUGAUAGAAGUGUCUUAUGACCAUCUUAUGACCCUUGUGCAAGAUCAUAAGGUCUAACGACUUAGCUGUGGUCUGCUGUUCUUACUGCUUGCCUUGCAUUUUAAAAUUAUCCCUGCCCAGUGCCCUAAGGUUACGCUAAGAUAAGAGGUUACUAAAGUUUACUAACUUUGCCGCAGUUCCCCUUUUCCUCUGCGCAUGCGACAAAAGGUUUUGCUGCAGUUCUGCUUUUUGAGUGCGCAUGCACUAACCCUGAUAAGUCACACUAACCAAUAACAAGUUAAGUGCAGCCUACAAGAUAAGACGUAACAACUAGGAAAUGGUAAUGCUGCCAAUAAACAUCUAACACGUUAAAACUCUAUGUUCAACGUAAGCUAUAAAAAUGUAAUUCCGGGCCAGACUUGUCGUCGACUCUGAUUUGAGCUCAGCUCCUGGGUCAAACUGUUUGCAAACAAUAAAUCUGAGAUGGACCCAG